This 1373-nucleotide long non-coding RNA is filed under the name Helicoverpa zea (corn earworm). RNAcentral describes it as "uncharacterized LOC124630001". Lineage: Eukaryota; Metazoa; Arthropoda; Insecta; Lepidoptera; Noctuidae. The record is from RNAcentral.
AAUCGGUGUGUAACCUUAACUAAGUAUAUACAUACUAAGUGUGUAAUAUAUAUUUAUAAAAUAUAAUAUACUGCUAUAAAAACAUACUAAAUAUAAAUAGAAAAAACUAACUAACAUAACAACAUUCUGAACGAAUGUGAAUGGAAGUGACACUUGACGUGCUUCACAAAAUUCUAUAAUUAGCUAUGGUCAAAGCCGUUCACCAAUGACCAUACACACACAAUGCAAACUAUUUACGAAUUACGUAAUGGCGACGAGUGCUUAUCAACAAUUAUUAUGCAAGGCAUCAUUGUGUUCAAAUUGUGGAAAUGAGUGUCUGAAAUGGUGUUAUGAAAGAAAAAUAAAAUAAAAUAACGUAUUAAGUGUGAACGAGUAUGCAGGUCGAUCGUAAUCCUGCUACCAGGAUGGCGUAGACAAAAAUAGAGGAAAUGACAGAGAGAUGAGGAAAAUAAGUUUGACCAGAGCAGAUGCUCCUCCAUACCGAAGAGAAUGAUUCAAAAGCAGCCCACACCGCAGGAAGUGAUCCCCAAACCAAAGCAUGUGUGCCAUGAAACCUGAGGCAUCGAAAUGGGGGAGGGAGAUCAUUCCAGCAGCGCGUGGCUGCAAACUUGAAGCAUCCUCUGAAAGCCGUAGUGCGAUGCGUGGGAACGGUCAGCGGACACACUAUGGAGCGAAGACCAUGCUUUAUCUGGCUUUGUUUCCAGGUCAGCUUUUUGAAAAGAUAUUCUGGUGUUUGAGCCCUAACAGUACCAAACAACAGAUUGGCCAAAUGAAGUUUUCUCCUGGCAGCCAUCUUUAAUAGUUUUAGUUCAUUAAUGUAUGGGGUAACAUGACUUCUACGUGGAAUAUUUAUACAAUAACGAACACAGGCAUUUUGAAUACGUUGGAUAACGCGCUCGGUUCUAGAGAGAAGACAUGGACCAUACACUAUAUCACAAUAGUUUAACUUCGAUAGGACGAGGCUGUCAACAAGUUGUUUGCGCAAAGGAAUGCUCAAAUAUUUCCGUAUACCAUAUAAUACCUUUAGCCUAUAAAAACAACUUCCUAGGAUUCUUGUUAUGUGUGACUCGAAGCGUAGCUCCGGGUCCAUAGUCAGGCCCAGAUUGCAUGCUUGCUCAACCCUCUCGAUUCUCUCUCCCAUGAUCACUAUCUCAGGGUUAGCUGACUGAAUAGCUAGAACUUGGUUUCUGGAACCCAGAAUCAUAAAUUUAGAUUUGAGCGGGUUAAGGACCAGUGAGUUCAUCUCCGACCAUACAACCACCCUAUGCAAAUCCUCAUUGAUUUUCUGCACCGCCUCCGAUGUUUCAUCGACCUUGAACGACAAGUACAGCUGUAUAUCGUCAGCGUACAUGUGAUAUUUGCAAUGGGUGAAA